RNAcentral lists this transfer RNA (57 nucleotides) under Dipodomys ordii (Ord's kangaroo rat). It matches the Rfam family "tRNA", at positions 9 to 63 of the family's 71-position model. Rfam says of the family: Transfer RNA (tRNA) molecules are approximately 80 nucleotides in length. Lineage: Eukaryota; Metazoa; Chordata; Mammalia; Rodentia; Heteromyidae. The record is from Rfam by way of RNAcentral.
GGCUCAGUGGUAGAGUACUUGCCUUGCACGCAUGAGGCCCUGGGUUCGAUUCCUCAG